GAUGAACGCUGGCGGCGUGCCUAACACAUGCAAGUCGAACGGACGGACGAGAAGCUUUUUGGUGUGAGGGUAGCGGCGGCCGGGGGGGUAAUAAGUGGAUAGCAACCUUCUACCUCUUGGUGGAUAUCGGCAAGAAGGAGCGACUACUGCAGGAUAUUUUGGACCGGUUGCAUCAUGAGUGAGGGACAGUUUUGGUGUCACUGAGAGAUGGAUUCGCGCUGUAUUAGCUAGUUGGUGAGGUAACGGCUUACCAAGGCAACGAUGCGUAGCCGCCCUGAGAGGGUGAUCGGCCACACUGGAGCUGAGACACGGCCCAGACUCCUACGGGAGGCAGCAGUAGGGAAUAUUCCGCAAUGGGCGGAAGCCUGAUGAAGCAACGCCGCGUGAGUGAUGAAGGUCUUCGGAUCGUAAAGCUCUGUUAUUGGGGAAGAACAUAUGUGUAAGUAACUGUGGACGUCUUGACGGUACCUAAACAAGAAGCCACGGCUAACUACGUG
Molecule: ribosomal RNA, 497 nt
Filed under: uncultured bacterium
Lineage: Bacteria
Description: partial 16S ribosomal RNA
Rfam family: Bacterial small subunit ribosomal RNA
Source: RNAcentral